Molecule: ribosomal RNA, 1244 nt
Filed under: uncultured Alphaproteobacteria bacterium
Lineage: Bacteria; Pseudomonadati; Pseudomonadota; Alphaproteobacteria
Description: partial 16S ribosomal RNA
Rfam family: Bacterial small subunit ribosomal RNA
Source: RNAcentral
CAAGUCGAACGAAGUCUUCGGACUUAGUGGCGGACGGGUGAGUAACACGUGGGAACGUGCCUUUAGGUUCGGAAUAACUCAGGGAAACUUGUGCUAAUACCGAAUGUGCCCUUCGGGGGAAAGAUUUAUCGCCUUUAGAGCGGCCCGCGUCUGAUUAGCUAGUUGGUGAGGUAAAGGCUCACCAAGGCGACGAUUAGUAGCUGGUCUGAGAGGAUGAUCAGCCACAUUGGGACUGAGACACGGCCCAAACUCCUACGGGAGGCAGCAGUGGGGAAUCUUGCGCAAUGGGCGAAAGCCUGACGCAGCCAUGCCGCGUGAAUGAUGAAGGUCUUAGGAUUGUAAAAUUCUUUCACCGGGGACGAUAAUGACGGUACCCGGAGAAGAAGCCCCGGCUAACUUCGUGCCAGCAGCCGCGGUAAUACGAAGGGGGCUAGCGUUGCUCGGAAUUACUGGGCGUAAAGGGAGCGUAGGCGGACAUUUAAGUCAGGGGUGAAAUCCCGGGGCUCAACCUCGGAAUUGCCUUUGAUACUGGAUGUCUUGAGUGUGAGAGAGGUAUGUGGAACUCCGAGUGUAGAGGUGAAAUUCGUAGAUAUUCGGAAGAACACCAGUGGCGAAGGCGACAUACUGGCUCAUUACUGACGCUGAGGCUCGAAAGCGUGGGGAGCAAACAGGAUUAGAUACCCUGGUAGUCCACGCCGUAAACGAUGAUUGCUAGUUGUCGGGAUGCAUGCAUUUCGGUGACGCAGCUAACGCAUUAAGCAAUCCGCCUGGGGAGUACGGUCGCAAGAUUAAAACUCAAAGGAAUUGACGGGGGCCCGCACAAGCGGUGGAGCAUGUGUUUAAUUCGAAGCAACGCGCAGAACCUUACCACCUUUUGACAUGCCCGGACCGCCACAGAAGAUGUGGCUUUCUCUUCGGGGGACUGGGGACACAGGUGCUGCAUGGCUGUCGUCAGCUCGUGUCGUGAAGAUGUUGGGGUUAGGUCCCGGUACGAGCGCACCCUUGCUCUAGUUGCCAGCAGGUUCGGCUGGCAUCUUAGGGGGACUGGCGGUGAUAAUCGGGAGGAGGUGGGGACGACGUCAGUCAUCAUGGCUAUGGGUAGGGCCUACCACGGUGCUACAAUGGUCGGUACGAGGGACGCGAAGUCCGGAGGCGGACCAUCUCUAAAGGCGGACUUAGCCGGAUAGGACUGGCACCUCGAUCUUGGAGCGAUCGGUGAUGCGAAUAACAAGUGCGCCGAUUAC